GCCCGUGUGGCCAAGUGGUAAGGCGUCGCACUUGUAAUGCGAAGAUCCAUAGUUCGACUCUGUGUACGGGCA
RNAcentral lists this transfer RNA (72 nucleotides) under Exserohilum turcicum. RNAcentral's name for it is "tRNA-Thr". It matches the Rfam family "tRNA". From Rfam's summary of the family: Transfer RNA (tRNA) molecules are approximately 80 nucleotides in length. RNAcentral also lists the same sequence under 1 other name. The record is from RNAcentral. Lineage: Eukaryota; Fungi; Ascomycota; Dothideomycetes; Pleosporales; Pleosporaceae.